AAAUGAUUAUUUAAAAAAAAAUCCACAAUAUUCAAUGAAUUAAAAGAAAGUCUAAUAUGAUGUGAAUGCAUAAAAUCUCUAAGUCAAUAAUAGAUCCUCCUCCCAAGUAAGUAGAGCACUAGUAAGAAUAAAAAGUUACCCUUAUAGUCAAAGCUUGAGAAUACCUAGAGUCCAUUAUUAACUUCCCAUACCAUACUAAAAUUUAAAGGUAUAGAAAAAAGAGAGCAUGUGUUGGAUGUAAACAGCAACUGAAAUUGUACUCUUCUAGGUGAGACUCAA
RNAcentral lists this long non-coding RNA (279 nucleotides) under Lathyrus oleraceus (garden pea). Its description in RNAcentral is "Pisum sativum (pea) long non-coding RNA (PSAT_LNC013235)". The record is from RNAcentral. Lineage: Eukaryota; Viridiplantae; Streptophyta; Magnoliopsida; Fabales; Fabaceae.